This 402-nucleotide ribosomal RNA is filed under the name uncultured bacterium. RNAcentral describes it as "bacterial SSU rRNA". It matches the Rfam family "Bacterial small subunit ribosomal RNA", at positions 355 to 774 of the family's 1533-position model. The record is from RNAcentral.
UGGGGGAUAUUGCGCAAUGGGGGAAACCCUGACGCAGCAACGCCGCGUGAAGGAAGAAGGCCUUCGGGUUGUAAACUUCUUUAAGUGUGGAAGAUAAUGACGGUACACACAGAAUAAGCCACGGCUAACUACGUGCCAGCAGCCGCGGUAAUACGUAGGUGGCGAGCGUUGUCCGGAUUUACUGGGUGUAAAGGGCGUGUAGGCGGGUAAACAAGUCAGAUGUGAAAUACCUAAGCUCAACUUAGGGGCUGCCGUUGAUACUGCAUAGCUGGAAUAUGGUUGCUGUUGGCGGAAUGUGUAGUGUAGCGGUGAAAUGCAUAGAUAUUACACAGAACACCGAUUGCGAAGGCAGCUGACAAAACCAUAAUUGACGCUGAUGCACGAAAGUGUGGGGAUCAAACA